This 468-nucleotide ribosomal RNA is filed under the name uncultured bacterium. RNAcentral describes it as "partial 16S ribosomal RNA". It matches the Rfam family "Bacterial small subunit ribosomal RNA", at positions 28 to 507 of the family's 1533-position model. The record is from RNAcentral.
GACGAACGCUGGCGGCGUGCUUAACACAUGCAAGUCGAACGGAAAGGCCCUGCUUUUGUGGGGUGCUCGAGUGGCGGACGGGUGAGUAACACGUGAGUAACCUGCCCUUGACUUUGGGAUAACUUCAGGAAACUGGGGCUAAUACCGGAUAGGAGCUCCUGCUGCAUGGUGGGGGUUGGAAAGUUUCGGUGGUUGGGGAUGGACUCGCGGCUUAUCAGCUUGUUGGUGGGGUAGUGGCUUACCAAGGCUUUGACGGGUAGCCGGCCUGAGAGGGUGACCGGCCACAUUGGGACUGAGAUACGGCCCAGACUCCUACGGGAGGCAGCAGUGGAGAAUAUUGCACAAUGGGCGGAAGCCUGAUGCAGCAACGCCGCGUGCGGGAUGACGGCCUUCGGGUUGUAAACCGCUUUCGCCUGUGACGAAGCGUGAGUGACGGUAAUGGGUAAAGAAGCACCGGCUAACUACGUG